GCACUGCUGAGGAGUCCCAUACCAGGGCGAAACGGACGUCCAGUGC
RNAcentral lists this non-coding RNA (46 nucleotides) under Schistosoma haematobium. RNAcentral also lists the same sequence under 1 other name. The record is from RNAcentral. Lineage: Eukaryota; Metazoa; Platyhelminthes; Trematoda; Strigeidida; Schistosomatidae.